AACGAACGCUGGCGGCAUGCCUAACACAUGCAAGUCGAACGAGACCUUCGGGUCUAGUGGCGCACGGGUGUGUAACGCGUGGGAAUCUGCCCUUGGGUUCGGAAUAACAGUUGGAAACGACUGCUAAUACCGGAUGAUGACGUAAGUCCAAAGAUUUAUCGCCCAAGGAUGAGCCCGCGUAGGAUUAGCUAGUUGGUGAGGUAAAGGCUCACCAAGGCGACGAUCCUUAGCUGGUCUGAGAGGAUGAUCAGCCACACUGGGACUGAGACACGGCCCAGACUCCUACGGGAGGCAGCAGUGGGGAAUAUUGGACAAUGGGCGAAAGCCUGAUGCAGCAAGGCCGCGUGAGUGAUGAAGGCCUUAGGGUAGUAAAGCUCUUUUACCCGGGAUGAUAAUGACAGUACCGGGAGAAUAAGCUCCGGCUAACUCCGUG
Molecule: ribosomal RNA, 433 nt
Filed under: uncultured bacterium
Lineage: Bacteria
Description: partial 16S ribosomal RNA
Rfam family: Bacterial small subunit ribosomal RNA
Source: RNAcentral